Molecule: ribosomal RNA, 484 nt
Filed under: uncultured bacterium
Lineage: Bacteria
Description: partial 16S ribosomal RNA
Rfam family: Bacterial small subunit ribosomal RNA
Source: RNAcentral
AUUGAACGCUGGCGGCAGGCCUAACACAUGCAAGUCGAGCGGAUGAAGGGAGCUUGCUCCUGGAUUCAGCGGCGGACGGGUGAGUAAUGCCUAGGAAUCUGCCUGGUAGUGGGGGAUAACGUCCGGAAACGGGCGCUAAUACCGCAUACGUCCUGAGGGAGAAAGUGGGGGAUCUUCGGACCUCACGCUAUCAGAUGAGCCUAGGUCGGAUUAGCUAGUUGGUGGGGUAAAGGCCUACCAAGGCGACGAUCCGUAACUGGUCUGAGAGGAUGAUCAGUCACACUGGAACUGAGACACGGUCCAGACUCCUACGGGAGGCAGCAGUGGGGAAUAUUGGACACAGGGCGAAAGCCUGAUCCAGCCAUGCCGCGUGUGUGAAGAAGGUCUUCGGAUUGUAAAGCGCUUUAAGUUGGGAGGAAGGGCAGUAAGUUAAUACCUUGCUGUUUUGACGUUACCAACAGAAUAAGCACCGGCUAACUUCGUG